This 253-nucleotide ribosomal RNA is filed under the name uncultured bacterium. Its description in RNAcentral is "partial 16S ribosomal RNA". It matches the Rfam family "Bacterial small subunit ribosomal RNA", at positions 524 to 776 of the family's 1533-position model. The record is from RNAcentral.
UACGGAGGGUGCAAGCGUUAUCCGGAUUCACUGGGUUUAAAGGGUGCGUAGGUGGGCAAGUAAGUCAGUGCUGAAAUACUCUAGCUUAACUAGAGGGGUGGCAUUGAUACUGAAAGGCUUGAGUGAAGUCGAAGUAGGCGGAAUUGACGGUGUAGCGGUGAAAUGCUUAGAUAUCGUCAAGAACACCGAUAGUGAAGACAGCUUACUAGACUUCAACUGACGCUGAGGCACGAAAGUGUGGGGAUCAAACAGG